This is a long non-coding RNA of Lepisosteus oculatus (spotted gar), 436 nucleotides long. RefSeq lists it as uncharacterized. Lineage: Eukaryota; Metazoa; Chordata; Actinopteri; Semionotiformes; Lepisosteidae. The record is from RefSeq and is a predicted model, not a curated record.
UCCUGUGUUUGUCUCAGAUGGAUUGCCUGGCUCUUCGGAUCUUGGACUACCCCCUGACUACCCACCUGGACCUGCCAGGACGGACGUCUAAGGCUGGUUUCCCCUGCACACCGGAUCACAAACUGUAACCCCUCAGUGCCUUCACAAAAAAAAUUGUGACAAACUCACACCAAUUAAGUCUCCAGAAACCAAGGAGUGUGGAGGCAGCAUCUUUCCUUUCCAAGGGUCUGAAUGUAAUGUUGGAUACACUUAGAAGAUGGGUGGAUGGUACAGGAAUGCUUGGACCACAGAAAUAUCCAACCAGCCCAACCAGAGAUGCCCAGGCCAAAUCCCCAAAAUCUCUGAGUUGACUGAUUCAUCUCCAGUCCCUUAUCAGGCAAUUAUCAUACUUGAAAUUGUGUUUUGAGUGCUUUUGAAAUAAAUAAAAACAAGAGAA